Molecule: ribosomal RNA, 468 nt
Filed under: uncultured bacterium
Lineage: Bacteria
Description: partial 16S ribosomal RNA
Rfam family: Bacterial small subunit ribosomal RNA
Source: RNAcentral
GACGAACGCUGGCGGCGUGCUUAACACAUGCAAGUCGAACGGAAAGGCCCUGCUUUUGUGGGGUGCUCGAGUGGCGAACGGGUGAGUAACACGUGAGUAACCUGCCCUUGACUUUGGGAUAACUUCAGGAAACUGGGGCUAAUACCGGAUAGGAGCUCCUGCUGCAUGGUGGGGGUUGGAACGUUUCGGCGGUUGGGGAUGGACUCGCGGCUUAUCAGCUUGUUGGUGGGGUAGUGGCUUACCAAGGCUUUGACGGGUAGCCGGCCUGAGAGGGUGACCGGCCACAUUGGGACUGAGAUACGGCGCAGACUCCUACGGGAGGCAGCAGUGGGGAAUAUUGCACAAUGGGCGGAAGCCUGAUGCAGCAACGCCGCGUGCGGGAUGACGGCCUUCGGGUUGUAAACCGCUUUCGCCUGUGACGAAGCGUGAGUGACGGUAAUGGGUAAAGAAGCACCGGCUAACUACGUG